RNAcentral lists this long non-coding RNA (6358 nucleotides) under Ricinus communis (castor bean). RNAcentral's name for it is "long non-coding RNA (RCOM_LNC002536)". The record is from RNAcentral. Lineage: Eukaryota; Viridiplantae; Streptophyta; Magnoliopsida; Malpighiales; Euphorbiaceae.
AGUAAUCUCAAACUGCGAACCAAGUGUCACGACCCGAUCUAUGGGCCCGUGAUCGGCACUAGGGAAUGGGUAGGCGUAAGGCCACCAUAUCCCGUAGUAAGCCUGACUAUUCACUAACUCAAACAAUUUGCAAUUUAAAUUUUAUCUGUUGGCACUUUUCCACAAUUAAACUUUAGCCACCAGAUACUACAAAUUAAAUUUGGUCUGCUAGCAUAAUUGGGCAAGACCUGAAUUUAUAUAAUGUUACAAAAAGGUAAAUCUAGAAUUUCUACUGCGGAGAUUCUAGAAUUUUAAAAGUCAACAUACCAAUAAAGUCAAUUACGUUUAACCCGAAGAUGAAGAAAUCGAGCUGCUAGAGGAAAAGAUUUGCAAAAAAACUAUCAACACCUGAAAAAAAGUGAAAUUGAGACUGUCAGUCUUGAGAGUGAGUUAAAAUCAUAUAUUCCAAAAACAAAAACAAACACUUCAAUAAAAUAUUUGUUUAAUUAUAAUAAACUAUUAAGUCAUGCAAAAUUACGUGUCAUGCCAUGUUUCUAUAAAAUAAAUUUCACAAAGUGUACUAUGGGAUGGAGUACAUCAGUAAAACCCUAAUCCCCAUUACUAAUAGCCUUAGCCUUUCGGCUCUCUCGUUCCAGCAGAACUGGCGCCCAGAGAGCAAAGCUCGACCAAGGUCCUUAAACCAGUAUGGUCACUUAUAUUUCCAACAAAGCCAGCGCCCAGAGAGCAAUGCUUGACCAGGGACCUUUACUUCGGCAAACUCACUAUACUUAGUCCAGAGAGUUAAACUCGACUAGGGCAAGUCCUAAAUUUACCUUUUAAUAUCUGUCUCAGAUUCAUACCGGUGCAUACGCGGUCCUGAUGCAACCCAUUAGGUGACAUUUUUUACUGCCAUCUCAUCCUGAGUUAACAUGCAUUUUCAAUAGCAUUGAUGCAGAAAAUGAUACAUGUAUGGAUAGUAAUUAAAUAAAUAAUUAAAAUAUUAAAUCAUUUAAUCAGAAUUACGUAAAAUCUUAGCAUGACACAUGUAAACAGAUAUACGAUUUUAACUCACAGUUCUGACGAUCUCCUAGCCCUACUCCGAUGCCUCGGGUGGAGCGAGCCGAACUGACGGAUUUAUCUAAUCACGGGAACAAUUCAAUCAGAAAAGUAUAACAUUUGAUAAAUAACCCUAGGCCUAGACUCCUAGAACUCCAUAUCUAAGAAUUUCGACUCGGAAGAAUUCUAUCGAAAAUUUGGUAGAAUCUCCCCUAAAUAUGGACAUUUAGCCCCCGUAAAACGGGUCCAGAACCUGCCAAAAACACUUCAAAUAUACUGCGAUUAAUUAACAGGUGUUGGGACACCCAAACUGCAUUAAUCUUUCCAACUCUGCAAUGCAUCACAAAUCACAUAUUGACAAACGGUCCAACACACUAUUUAUUUCGGCCAACAAUCCUCACAUAAUUUUUCUAAUGCUAAACGCAAUAGUUAAUUAUAUAAUUUUUCUCAACAAACUAUAAAAUCAUCAGGCUAGAGAAUUACCGAGACGCUUGAUAACUCGGUCGACUCGCCUCCAGCUACUGGAGUCCGAUCGACGAUCCGAACGCGCCUACGGACUUGAAACAAUGCACUAAUGAUGAUUCCAACACUGAUCUUCCGAUCUGACCCCCCAAUCAUUCGGAGAAAUUUACGGACGAUCUCGGUCGUUGAUUUUCAAACGGAGUCCAAUCGACGCGAAACUGCUGCCAUUGGAAAGCUUGAGCUGAGAGGGGUCCAGAUAUGCCCUUUGAUCAGCCAAAGCUCGCCGAAGACGACCAAAAAAGCUAAAAAAUUCUGUUGUCGUCACUUCACCGAAACUCUUUCCUCCGGCCACUAACGCUGACGCUGCUACCCCUAAAAGGAAGCCCUCAACUCACCGGUCAUUUUAAGACCAACCUUGCCGCCAAAGGACGCUGGAAACGCCUAAAAUGGCGUUGAAAAGCCGCAGUUGCUUCCUCGCGUUCUCCCGCAGGCGCUGCCAGCUGGAGCCGCUGCCGCUACACCUUCGGCCAGCUUUGAGGCGCCUCCGAAGCAUGCCACCACCGGCUGGACGACGCAACCGCUACUUCCCUUCCUCUUCCCUAUCCCACGUCGAUCUCUUCUCCUUCUUUUCUUUCUUCUCUAUAUUGACAUUUGGUCCCUCAAUUUUUCUUAUUUUCCAUUUAGUCCCUCAACUUUAUUAAUUACUAAAAAUUUCGCCUUGUAAAAUUUUCGUUUAAUCCUCCAACUAUUUUUUAGCUUUUCAAUUAAGCCCCUAGCUACUUAAUUUGGGCCAAAUUAAAAUUAUUAAAAAUAGAGAAUUACUUAUUUACCCUUGCUUUUAAAAGUAAAAUUACCAAAGUGCCCUUAUCGACAUAUUAAAUUACAAAAAUACCAAUCAUACAAAUUUUCAUUUAAAACUCGAGAUUAAAGCAAUUAUAUUCUUAAUCCUUAUUCCAAAAUUAAUUGUCAAUUUAAUCCUAAUACUUAAUUAACUUAGUUAAUCAAUUUACUAACUAUUUUUCAAUUAAAAUCAACACCAUUAGCUAAUUAAGAUUUGCUAUUCCCUAAUAAAUUCUUUUAUAAAAAUAUUAUUUACCAAUUCUUUCACAACUUUCAAAUAUAGAAUUCAAUUCAUAUACUCAUAUGGGAAGAAAAUUAAGUAAACAAAAAUAUAAUUUAUUGCCCAAGAAAUUUACUUAAUUAAUUUCUUAAAAAUCAAACUAAUUAGAUAUAGAAAAAUAACUCUCUUAUUUUUAUCUAGCAUUAAAUUCUAUUUUAAAUCAUCCUAAAUAAAUUAAUUAAAAAUGAAGUAAUAUUAAUUUAAUAAAACUUGUUAUUAAUUAUUACUAAUAUUACUAUUAUUAAAAGAAAAAUUCUGAAUAUUACACCAAACGUGCAUCUUUGAGCCGACAUCUUUGAUUAGUUGAGCAACUGCAUCAAAAGCACACUUUGAUAAAUGGUGAUCAGCCUUGAUAUUUAGCAUUCUAAAGACUAAAGAUAACUAUGAAUGGGUCUGACAUUUGGGCCACAACAAAUUAUAUGUUGCAUGUAGCAUGUCAGAUAAAUUUUAUGCCUCCAGAUUAGAAAUCUCUUACUCAUCAAAAUUGGGAUUGAAUGAAGGUCUUAUAGCAUCCAUCACUAUUUUGUAGUACUGGUUGUCAACUAUUUUUGCGGGUUCUUUAGAUAGAAAAACUGGUUGAUUUUCAGUGGUCCUUGCCUCUGUCUCCUUGUUUCUUGUUCAUACGUAAUAUCCCGGUAAGCCAUAUCUCAAAAGAAGUAAUUUCACUGGUUAAACAUCUAGGUAUUGGCGGUCCUAACACUUAUUGUGUGGACAUGGACCCUUUAUUUUUGGUUUGUCCAUACAUUCUGGAUGAGUGCACGUGGAAUCAAUGAAUUUGUUAAUACCGUCGAUAAACUUAGGAUUAGGAACAUUUAUUGGCCUUUGAUACAUCUAGCUUCAACCUCACUUAUGUUUUUCUAUAAUAACAACACAUAAAUGCAUGUCAAUUAAUUAACUAAAGUCGUGUACAAGAUUGAGAUUGAUUCAAGAAUAGCUUCAAUUCAAGAAUAAAGCCCUAUUUUUAAUAACUCACUAAGUUUGAUAUAGAAAUAAUAAUAAAUGUCAAAUUUUUUUAUUUUCUCUUUUUCGCCUUUCCUAUGUUACUUUGUACUAUUAAUAAAUUCUUUAAAUAAUGCCAAAGAAAAAAAUGAAAAGAAAGUGAGGGAAAAAAAAAACACGGAAAUGACUUCAGACGUGCAUGUUUGAACCAAAUAAUCUGCAUGUGAAUAUAGAUGUUUGAUUAUAAUAGUAAUGCCUCAAAGAAUAAUCAUUUUUUAUUUCUUUACAAUCAUCCUAUUGAGGUCUGAAUAUUUUGCUAUUUUUAAAGAGAUGAUUAUUUAUUUAAGUCUUAAUACUAAAAUUAUAAUAGUUAUUUAUUAUGCAUAUACUAGUUAAGCUAACAAAAUUAUAGAGUUGUCGCCAAUUUAUAACAUUGCCAUUUUAAAAACUCUAACCUAAUAGAUUUAUAACUCAAAACUCUAAGUUAAGUACAAAUAGCAUUCCUAAAGAAACCUAUGGAGAACUAUUUUGGAGGGUUCUAAUCAAUUUUAACUUAAGAUCUAAUUAAUCUUCAAGCUUGUACUAAUUACUUUUGGAGCAAAGUGGACUUGAUUGUUGUUUUGACGGAAGGUGGGAUGGGAUCCUCCCUAACUUACAUGGUACUAAGCAGACAAAUAAGGAGAAGGUUUCUAGAAAUUAAUUCUUCUAAAAACUUUAUGCACGAUAUGGCAUGACAAGUCUUUGUGCAAUUAAUAACUAAUAUUAUUUCUUUAGAAAUUUGUAUAUUACGGUUUCAUAAAAAAUAAAAAAAAAAUAAAAAUAAAAAAAACUGUAUACUAGCAUCCUUCCUUUCAUAACUAGCAAUAGCUAUAAAAUACUUUGUACAUCGGGUGAGCCCUUUAAAUAUAAUCAGUAGAAAGUAUAUAAUAGAAUCAUAUUACAAAAGCAACUUUAUUCAGCUUAUAUACUAUAUGAUUUAUCUUUAUAAUCUUAUUAAAAGGUUCAUGUUUACUUUAUACUAAUCCAUCUUUCAUCUUUGUAUAUCUAGUACUUUACAAAUUUUGAAAAUAAUUACUAGACAUGGCAAGAUAGGAAUCGAGGGACAUUCUAUUCAUAACAUCCAAAUUGAACCGUAACAAAAUCAUUUACUAGUAUUACAAGAAAAUCAUGGUAUAAAUUUAAUCACAAGAUCAAUAACGUAACAUAUCCUCAACAGUAAAAUAAAAUCAGUAACAUUUCUAAUUUAAAUUAUUCACCAAAAAUUCUAAUAAAAUAAAAAAGCUAACCAUAAAAAAAUUCAUUUGAUUCACCAUUACAAAAUUUUAAAAAAAGGUCCAUUGUUAUUCACUAACAUUAACCAAAAACAGUAACAAAUUCAUUUUCUUCAUUAAUGAAUUGCUGCUUAAACAAUGCUAACAGUAAGAUACAAUCAACGAUGAUUUGAGGAACACAUCUUAGAAUACAAAGCCAACCUCGAACAACAAUGAGAGAAGGAGAAAGAAACCGAAAAUGGUUGCUAAACCUAUAAGAGAAUCGGAUAAGGUUGUAGAUUUUUAUGAAUGAAGAGGAAGAGAAACUUGACGAGAGGAUAGAGAGAGACUGAUUUUUCAUACCCCCAAAGAGAGAAAGAGACGUUGAGCAGCGACGCACAAGAGGAAGAAAAAAUAGCAACACUGGAGACUAGUGGCCCUACCAAUCAAUUAGGGAUUUAGUCUAUUUUGUAUGAAAACUGUUGGGAGAGGAGGAAAAAGAGCUUCUAUUCGAUAUUUUUCACAGAUAGAGACCACAUCUCUAUUGGUCUCUGAUGUGGCCGCUAAAAUAAGGCAAAGUGUAAGUUGGACUACCGUUUCAUUUAGCUAAAACAGUAACUAUAACACCCCAACUCAAACUUCCCAUUGAAUAGCAAUAUAUAUAUAUAUAUAUAUAUAUAUAUAUAUAUAACUUUAUAAACAUAAUUUACUACUUAGUUACAAUAUACAUUCAUACAAUUUAAGUGGCAUGACAUACUUAAUAUAUAUAAGAAAUAUUUAUACAGUAGUUUAAUUCACACAAGUUCCCAAAAUGCCCCAAUGCUUUAGAUAACUCCUCUGGCCCACCUGAUAAUAUUGACUGAUGCAAAAAGAGCAAUGCACAACUAAGGCUAUCUACAACUGCACUAACCUGAAAAAAAAAAUUGCUAAGGAAUGAGCUAGCGACUCAAUAAGCAUUUAAUUUACUAAACUAUAGUAUAUUAGGCUAGAAUUAUCAAAUCUUUAUCAAUACAGAAAAUUAUACCAACACUUAACUAACAAUCACAAAAUCAACCAUUUCAGUUAUUCUCAUAAACAUAUAAUUUCAUCUCACGUAAUGCAAAUAAUCUCAAACUCAACCAAGUCAAAUAAUUCAAUUCUACAUUAUUUCUAUCAAAUUAGGAUCAGAUGACUCAUCCUUACAUUUCCUCACAUUUUUAAAUUUCAGUAACCACUUGACAAGACUAUCCGCCCGGCUCAGUCUUGCCAUCUCACAUACUCGGGUAGCUAUCCGCCCGGCUCAGCUUUCCCGAUCACACAAUAUCCAUACAAAAGUCAUCAAUCCUUAAUCACAAUCAUUUCACUUCACAACACAUCACAAUCAAUUCACUUUAUAACAAGCCAAAAACAUAACUAAUAUCAACUCAGUCAACCAAGAAAUUAUCAAGUAAUCAAACAGCAGUCCCUACUCAAUAUACACAAAGUUUAGUCUAUUAAAUACUUACCAGAAGUUAUAGGAUAACAAAGUAAUCCUAUUCUUUUUCUCUUACCACUUCCUUGCCUUUGGAUGAAC